UCACCCAAAGUUUACCUAGCUGGCCUGGAGGGUUUCAGAUUGCUUCACUCACGUGACUGGAAGGCUGGGUCUAACUGAGAUGUGGACUAGAAUGUUCAGAUGUGCUCCCUCCAGCAUGAACAUCUUGGGCUAGCCAGACUCCUUACAUGGUGGUCCAGGGCUCCUGAAGAGACUGUGCCAAGAGAUGGAAAGGGAAGCUGCUAGGAUCUUCAGGCCUGAUCUAGAAACUGACACAACACCACUUCUACCACAGUCCAUUUGUCAAAGCAGACCUUGAACCUGCCCAGUUUCAAGGGGCUUCUGAUCUGAGAUCAGAUCAUAAGCAACCAGCCCUAGGAAGGUCCAACUGCAAAUGCAAAGGCCCUGAGCUCUGGCCUGAGACACGCGAGAAGAUGCUGGCUUCGCCGCUUCUCUUCAUCAGAAGAAACAUCUUCCCCCACGCACAGGCUCCAGGGUUCGGUUAUUAAAACAGCAAAACCCAAAUGCUUCCAAGAUAAACUCCUGAUAAUGCGAUAAUAGCAGCCACCCUGGAGAAUUCCAAUUGGUGCCUCUCACCAGGGGCAAUGUCAUCAGCAAGCAAGCAUC
Long non-coding RNA from Mustela erminea (ermine), 585 nucleotides. RefSeq lists it as uncharacterized. Lineage: Eukaryota; Metazoa; Chordata; Mammalia; Carnivora; Mustelidae. The record is from RefSeq and is a predicted model, not a curated record. The transcript has 3 exons.